This 619-nucleotide ribosomal RNA is filed under the name uncultured bacterium. RNAcentral describes it as "bacterial SSU rRNA". It matches the Rfam family "Bacterial small subunit ribosomal RNA", at positions 338 to 951 of the family's 1533-position model. The record is from RNAcentral.
CCUACGGGAGGCAGCAGUGGGGAAUUUUGGACAAUGGGCGAAAGCCUGAUCCAGCCAUGCCGCGUGCAGGAUGAAGGCCUUCGGGUUGUAAACUGCUUUUGUACGGAACGAAAAGCCUCUUUCUAAUAAAGAGGGGUCAUGACGGUACCGUAAGAAUAAGCACCGGCUAACUACGUGCCAGCAGCCGCGGUAAUACGUAGGGUGCGAGCGUUAAUCGGAAUUACUGGGCGUAAAGCGUGCGCAGGCGGUUAUAUAAGACAGUUGUGAAAUCCCCGGGCUCAACCUGGGAACUGCAUCUGUGACUGUAUAGCUAGAGUACGGUAGAGGGGGAUGGAAUUCCGCGUGUAGCAGUGAAAUGCGUAGAUAUGCGGAGGAACACCGAUGGCGAAGGCAAUCCCCUGGACCUGUACUGACGCUCAUGCACGAAAGCGUGGGGAGCAAACAGGAUUAGAUACCCUGGUAGUCCACGCCCUAAACGAUGUCAACUGGUUGUUGGGAAUUCACUUUCUCAGUAACCGAAGCUAACGCGUGAAGUUGACCGCCUGGGGAGUCGGCCGCAAGGUUGAAACUCAAAGGAAUUGACGGCGNGAGACGNGCGAGACGACGACGAGGGAGGAGG